Bubalus bubalis (water buffalo) is the source of this 1047-nucleotide RNA transcript. RefSeq lists it as uncharacterized. NCBI's taxonomy places the organism in Eukaryota, Metazoa, Chordata, Mammalia, Artiodactyla, Bovidae. The transcript has 2 exons. The record is from RefSeq and is a predicted model, not a curated record.
GCAAUCCACUCCAGUUUUCUUGCCUGGAGAAUCGCCAUGGACAGAGAAGCAGGGUGGGCUCCAGUCCAUGGCAUCCCAAAGAGUGGGACACAGCUGAGCGACUAAGCCCAGGACAUAUGGGUUGCCGACCUGUGGGUGUGAGUCUUGACUAUACCCCUUCUCCACCCUUCCUGUCCAUCUUACCGUGUCUCCUUCUUCAUAUCUGUAGUUGUGGAAGAUCUUGUCUGCUCAUCUUUCAGGUCAUUCUCAUCAAUAGCUUCUCUGUAUAUAGUUGUAAUUUUGGUGUGCCCAAGGGAGGAAGUAAGCUCAGAGUUUUCUUAUGCUGUUAUCUUGGCUACUCUCUGAGUAAAUAUCUUAGAUAGUGAGACAUGUACAACAUUAUUUCAUUUCAUGCAUAAUGUCAAAUGCUGAAUAUUUGUAAUUCUUCCCCCUCAGACAGGAGCUUGCAAGACGCAUGGGAGUGACUGAAGAUUGAAUGCAGGUGUGGUUUAAUCAUAGAAGGGCCAAGUGGAGGAAAUAUCAGAGAGCACUGAGGUUCAGAGAUGCGCCGCCCCUGCUCCCGGCCCACCGUGUGGUCAGCAACAGGGGUGGACCCUGCAACACCGUCCUCAUUCAGGAGCUGAAUUGUGUCUGGGUCCUUCUGGAGCCGAUAACCCUGGAGCUGAUGCCCUUGCCGCCCGUGCCCCCCGUGCCCCCCUUGAUGCUGCCCGUGCCGCCCUUGAUGCCCAUGCUGCCCUUACCCCCUCUGUUUCUGCCUCCUCUGCCCUGGAUUCUACCACCCUCCAUUCACUCCAGCUGCCCUCACGGCCUUGCCUGGUCCCCUACCACCAGUGGCCUUUCUGUAGCCCCGUUUCCUCUUGAAUGGUCUCCAUGACAGCCUUGUCGAAAGUGCCUUUGAGCCAGAUUGAAGUUCUGAUAUCUCAGCAUCAAGCACACAGGGCCUGCCAAGUGCCUGCCAAGUGUGCUACAUACACGUGCCGAGUCAUUGACCCACUAUUUUAGGGCACGUUUUCUGUGUUUUCAAUAAAGUUGUGAAUUCUCUGCAUA